Molecule: ribosomal RNA, 253 nt
Filed under: uncultured bacterium
Lineage: Bacteria
Description: partial 16S ribosomal RNA
Rfam family: Bacterial small subunit ribosomal RNA
Source: RNAcentral
UACGAAGGGGGCUAGCGUUGUUCGGAAUCACUGGGCGUAAAGCGCACGUAGGCGGAUCGAUAAGUCAGGGGUGAAAGCCCAAGGCUCAACCUUGGAAUUGCCUUUGAUACUGUCGAUCUUGAGUUCGGGAGAGGUGAGUGGAACUCCGAGUGUAGAGGUGAAAUUCGUAGAUAUUCGGAAGAACACCAGUGGCGAAGGCGGCUCACUGGCCCGAUACUGACGCUGAGGUGCGAAAGCGUGGGGAGCAAACAGG